This 253-nucleotide ribosomal RNA is filed under the name uncultured bacterium. RNAcentral describes it as "partial 16S ribosomal RNA". It matches the Rfam family "Bacterial small subunit ribosomal RNA", at positions 524 to 776 of the family's 1533-position model. The record is from RNAcentral.
UACGUAGGGUGCAAGCGUUAAUCGGAAUUACUGGGCGUAAAGCGUGCGCAGGCGGUUGUGCAAGACCGAUGUGAAAUCCCCGGGCUUAACCUGGGAAUGGCAUUGGUGACUGCACGGCUAGAGUGUGUCAGAGGGGGGUAGAAUUCCACGUGUAGCAGUGAAAUGCGUAGAGAUGUGGAGGAACACCGAUGGCGAAGGCAGCCCCCUGGGUUAACACUGACGCUCAGGCACGAAAGCGUGGGGAGCAAACAGG